Molecule: ribosomal RNA, 432 nt
Filed under: uncultured bacterium
Lineage: Bacteria
Description: partial 16S ribosomal RNA
Rfam family: Bacterial small subunit ribosomal RNA
Source: RNAcentral
ACGAACGCUGGCGGCAUGCCUAACACAUGCAAGUCGAACGAGACCUUCGGGUCUAGUGGCGCACGGGUGCGUAACGCGUGGGAACCUGCCCUUAGGUUCGGAAUAACUCCCCGAAAGGGGUGCUAAUACCGGAUAAUGUCUUCGGACCAAAGAUUUAUCGCCUUUGGAUGGGCCCGCGUUGGAUUAGCUAGUUGGUAGGGUAAAAGCCUACCAAGGCGACGAUCCAUAGCUGGUCUGAGAGGAUGAUCAGCCACACUGGGACUGAGACACGGCCCAGACUCCUACGGGAGGCAGCAGUGGGGAAUAUUGGACAAUGGGCGAAAGCCUGAUCCAGCAAGGCCGCGUGGGUGAUGAAGGCCUUAGGGUUGGAAAGCUCUUUUACCCGGGAUGAUAAUGACAGUACCGGGAGAAUAAGCACCGGCUAACUCCGUG